AAGCGGAGGAAAAGAAACCAACAGGGAUUCCCCUAGUAGCGGCGAGCGAACCGGGAAGAGCUCAAAUUUGUAAUCUGGCGCUUGCGUCCGAGUUGUAAUCUAUAGAAACGUUUUCCGUGCCGGACCGUGUCCAAGUCCCUUGGAACAGGGUAUCAAAGAGGGUGACAAUCCCGUGCUUGACACGACGACCGGUGCUCUGUGAUACGUUCUCUACGAGUCGAGUUGUUUGGGAAUGCAGCUCAAAAUGGGUGGUAAACUCCAUCUAAAGCUAAAUAUUGGCGAGAGACCGAUAGCGAACAAGUACCGUGAGGGAAAGAUGAAAAGCACUUUGGAAAGAGAGUUAAACAGUAUGUGAAAUUGUUGAAAGGGAAACGAUUGAAGUCAGUCGUGUUCAUUGGACUCAGCCGGUUCUGCCGGUGUACUUCCUUUGGAUGGGUCAACAUCAGUUUUGGUCGGUGGAUAAUGGCUUGGGGAAGGUGGCACCUCCGGGUGUGUUAUAGCCCCUUGUCGCAUACAUCGGCCGAGACUGAGGCAUGCAGCUCGCCUUUAUGGCCGGGGUUCGCCCACGUUCGAGCUUAGGAUGUUGACGUAAUGGCUUUAAACGACCCGUCUU
This 613-nucleotide ribosomal RNA is filed under the name Trimorphomycetaceae sp. Its description in RNAcentral is "partial large subunit ribosomal RNA". It matches the Rfam family "Eukaryotic large subunit ribosomal RNA", at positions 48 to 655 of the family's 3401-position model. The record is from RNAcentral. Lineage: Eukaryota; Fungi; Basidiomycota; Tremellomycetes; Tremellales; Trimorphomycetaceae.